UACGUAGGGCGCAAGCGUUAUCCGGAAUUAUUGGGCGUAAAGAGCUCGUAGGCGGCUUGUCGCGUCGGUUGUGAAAGCCCGGGGCUUAACCCCGGGUCUGCAGUCGAUACGGGCAGGCUAGAGUGUGGUAGGGGAGAUCGGAAUUCCUGGUGUAGCGGUGAAAUGCGCAGAUAUCAGGAGGAACACCGGUGGCGAAGGCGGAUCUCUGGGCCAUUACUGACGCUGAGGAGCGAAAGCGUGGGGAGCGAACAGG
This 253-nucleotide ribosomal RNA is filed under the name uncultured bacterium. Its description in RNAcentral is "partial 16S ribosomal RNA". It matches the Rfam family "Bacterial small subunit ribosomal RNA", at positions 524 to 776 of the family's 1533-position model. The record is from RNAcentral.